CCCCAGAUGGCGGAAUUGGCAGACGCGCACGACUCAAAAUCGUGUGGGGUAACCCAUGUCGGUUCGAGCCCGACUCCGGGGACCA
Molecule: transfer RNA, 85 nt
Filed under: Erysipelotrichaceae bacterium
Lineage: Bacteria; Bacillati; Bacillota; Erysipelotrichia; Erysipelotrichales; Erysipelotrichaceae
Description: tRNA-Leu
Rfam family: tRNA
About the family: Transfer RNA (tRNA) molecules are approximately 80 nucleotides in length. Their secondary structure includes four short double-helical elements and three loops (D, anti-codon, and T loops).
Source: RNAcentral